AACGAACGCUGGCGGCAUGCCUAACACAUGCAAGUCGAACGAACCCUUCGGGGUUAGGGGCGCACGGGUGCGUAACGCGUGGGAAUCUGCCCUUUGCUUCGGAAUAACAGUUAGAAAUGACUGCUAAUACCGGAUGAUGUCGUCGGACCAAAGAUUUAUCGUCAAGGGAUGAGCCCGCGUAGGAUUAGGUAGUCGGUGGGGUAAAGGCCUACCAAGCCGACGAUCCUUAGCUGGUCUGAGAGGAUGAUCAGCCACACUGGGACUGAGACACGGCCCAGACUCCUACGGGAGGCAGCAGCGGGGAAUAUUGGACAAUGGGCGCAAGCCUGAUCCAGCAAUGCCGCGUGAGUGAUGAAGGCCUUCGGGUCGUAAAGCUCUUUUACCAGGGAUGAUAAUGACAGUACCUGGAGAAUAAGCUCCGGCUAACUCCGUGCCAGCCGCCGCCGUAA
RNAcentral lists this ribosomal RNA (449 nucleotides) under uncultured bacterium. RNAcentral describes it as "partial 16S ribosomal RNA". It matches the Rfam family "Bacterial small subunit ribosomal RNA", at positions 29 to 523 of the family's 1533-position model. The record is from RNAcentral.